RNAcentral lists this ribosomal RNA (498 nucleotides) under uncultured bacterium. RNAcentral's name for it is "partial 16S ribosomal RNA". It matches the Rfam family "Bacterial small subunit ribosomal RNA", at positions 30 to 523 of the family's 1533-position model. The record is from RNAcentral.
AUUGAACGCUGGCGGCAUGCCUUACACAUGCAAGUCGAACGGUAACAGGUCUUCGGAUGCUGACGAGUGGCGAACGGGUGAGUAAUACAUCGGAACGUGCCUAGUAGUGGGGGAUAACUACUCGAAAGAGUGGCUAAUGCCGCAUGAGAUCUACGGAUGAAAGCAGGGGAUCGCAAGACCUUGUGCUACUCGAGCAGCCGAUGGCAGAUUAGGUAGUUGGUGGGAUAAAAGCUUACCAAGCCGACGAUCUGUAGCUGGUCUGAGAGGACGAUCAGCCACACUGGGACUGAGACACGGCCCAGACUCCUACGGGAGGCAGCAGUGAGGAAUUUUGGACAAUGGGCGAAAGCCUGAUCCAGCAAUGCCGCGUGCAGGAUGAAGGCCUUCGGGUUGUAAACUGCUUUUGUACGGAACGAAAAGCCCCGGGUUAAUACCCUGGGGUCAUGACGGUACCGUAAGAAUAAGCACCGGCUAACUACGUGCCAGCCGCCGCGGUAA